GUGGGGAAUAUUGGACAAUGGGCGAAAGCCUGAUCCAGCCAUGCCGCGUGUGUGAAGAAGGUCUUCGGAUUGUAAAGCACUUUAAGUUGGGAGGAAGGGUAGUAACCUAAUACGUUGCUACUUUGACGUUACCGACAGAAUAAGCACCGGCUAACUUCGUGCCAGCAGCCGCGGUAAUACGAAGGGUGCAAGCGUUAAUCGGAAUUACUGGGCGUAAAGCGCGCGUAGGGUGUUCAGUAAGUUGGAAGUGAAAUCCCCGGGCUCAACCUGGGAACUGCCUCCAAAACUGCAUGACUAGAGUACGGUAGAGGGUAGUGGAAUUUCCUGUGUAGCGGUGAAAUGCGUAGAUAUAGGAAGGAACACCAGUGGCGAAGGCGACUACCUGGACUGAUACUGACACUGAGGUGCGAAAGCGUGGGGAGCAAACAGGAUUAGAAACCCGGGUAGUCC
RNAcentral lists this ribosomal RNA (450 nucleotides) under uncultured bacterium. RNAcentral describes it as "partial 16S ribosomal RNA". It matches the Rfam family "Bacterial small subunit ribosomal RNA", at positions 354 to 796 of the family's 1533-position model. The record is from RNAcentral.